AAAACUUUCAACAACGGAUCUCUUGGUUCCCGCWUCGAUGAAGAACGCAGCGAAAUGCGAAAAGUAAUGUGAAUUGCAGAAUUCCGUGAAUCAUCGAAUCUUUGAACGCACAUUGCGCCCUUUGGUAUUCCGAAGGGCAUGCCUGUCCGAGCGUCAUUG
Molecule: ribosomal RNA, 159 nt
Filed under: Rinodina tunicata
Lineage: Eukaryota; Fungi; Ascomycota; Lecanoromycetes; Caliciales; Physciaceae
Description: 5.8S ribosomal RNA
Rfam family: 5.8S ribosomal RNA
About the family: 5.8S ribosomal RNA (5.8S rRNA) is a component of the large subunit of the eukaryotic ribosome. It is transcribed by RNA polymerase I as part of the 45S precursor that also contains 18S and 28S rRNA.
Source: RNAcentral